UUUAGACAUACUUCAAAGUGGCCAUGUUAUACUUCUAAUGACUUUUUUUUUUUUGAAAGGUAGGGUUAAUAUUUUCCUAGGCUUGAACCUAGUACCUCAUGGUUAGAAGCUUCAAAUUAGACAUUUUGUUAACCAAGUGAACUAACCCCAACUUAUGCUUCUAAGACCAUCUUUAAUGGUAGUUUAAUGGGGAGUUUAAUCCCAUUAAACUCAAAAUUCUCAUUGUAGGUUAAUGACAUGGCACUCAAUAGAAUGGGGAGUUCAAUCCCCAUUGAACUCCACACUCUCUCUCCUCUCACACACAUAUAAAUGAUGUGGCAAUCCAUUAAAUUGUAUUGGGUUUAAUGGAGUGUAGAGUUUAAUAGGUAAAAUUGUAUUGUAAGUGGAAUGUACAUGUGGCAAUCCAUUGAACUCAUUUGAGUUCAAUGCAUUGAAGAUGGCCUAAUGACUAAUUGGUAUGUACUAUUACCACUUAGACAUAAUGGCAUUCUAAUAUUACAUGUAUAACAAUCAUAAAUGGCUUGAGAGGGAUCUUAGUUAGAGGAUCUGUGACUUCAGUGGGGAUUUUAUAAAUCUUAACAUCAUCUGUGUCAACAAUAACACAUGAGAUAAUAUUUCAUGAAAGUUUGCAUGAAUGUUGUCACAAAGAAUUUGAAUUGGACUUUAGUUACUGAUUGUGACUCUAUCGAUCCACAAUAAACUUCUUGAUCCAAACAACUUCCUUCGACGCAUCACAUGUUGCUUGGGACUUGAAGUAAUCAUAGUCAAUAUUUGAUGUUAAUGUUGUGUAACACAAUUCCUCAUUAAGGCCUUUUUUUGCUAAAAAUGUAUCUUUAGCACUUCAUAAGUAUUUCAUGAGUGUGGUAUUACAUGUUUUUAUCCGUGAAUUAUGCAAAUCUUCCAUCAUUUUGAUAUGAUUUUUACAACUUCAUUGAUAUAAAAGAGGACCUUGCCUGGGACUUAAAGUCGCCAUAGUCAAUUUGGAAGUUCAUGUUGUGUGACACGUCCUCAUCGAGACCAUUAUUUACUAAAAAUGUGUCUUUAGCACUUCAUAAGUACUUAGUGUGUUAGGUAUUAUAAGUUUUUAUCCUUGAAUUACAUAACUAGAAUGGAAUCAGUGCGCCUUUGGCGCUGUGGUUUUGGAAUUAAACUGCAUCACAGUUACGUAAGACUUAGACAUAGCAACAAAAUAUUUACAACAUCAGAUUUCUUGCAAAAGGACAGUUACAUACCAACAUAAUAUUCAUAGCAAAAGAUUACUUCCUUAAGGGUUGCAUAGGUACAUAUUGUUUAUUUAUAGUAGAACAUCACUAAAUAGAUAAACAUAUUACUUAUAAGGAUGUUUGUCUUCAGGGAGUUUCUUGAUUUGUUGUUUGAGAUUGUUGAUAAGGACGUCAUAUUUUUCCUGCAUUUCAUGAAUGGUGUUGGUCAUUUUUGAUGUCUCGUAGUGGUUGUCAAGCAACACAUGUUACGUAGUGUUUGAACAUCAACGUCGUCACCGUGAUUUGUUAUGUAUAGUCGGAUAUUUUUGUCAAUUGUGAAACUUUCUUCUAACCUCGAUUGAGUUGCUUCAAGUAUGUCUGCAAUUUCUCUAAGGAAGUCGAUCAUAAUCAUCAAAGUGUUAUUGAAAUAUGUACUAUUCAUUUUGAUAUUUAUGAUGCGAUGUGGUUUAAAUUUAGUUUUCAAAGUUACAAUUUAUAUGUGUGGUAUAUUGUCAUUUUGUGCAUGUAGAUAAUGUAAGUUAUAGUUAUAGACAUCCAUGUGUGAUGUUUUCCUGUUUGUAGCAUUGCUUAUUGAUUAAUUGCAAAGUAAUCGAGAAUAGUACGUGGCUUGUUAUGCAGUGGGUUGGUAACAAAUGUUAUAGUAGGUUACAGUUGAAGAUUAUUAUUAUAUGAUGACAACUUUAAGUAAGUAAAAAACAAUAAUAGUAAAUAAAAUUUAUAAAAACUUAUAAACGUGUGUGUGGUUAGUUACAUAGAAAAAUUUAGUUGGAAUAUUACUUUCAUGUUUUCUAAUAAUAUUUUUUUAUUUAGGUCAUAUUAAUUUAGUUUAUAUGAAUAUGUAAAAAAAAUUUAACUGACUCUUACUGUGAUGUUGUAUAAAUAUAUAUUUUUGCUUUACUUAAAAUCAAUUACGUUUUUUUUUUAUUAUUUUAUAGAAAAGGUGAACAGUAAGCUGUUAUAGGUUGUAGUUGAUAAGAUAUUAAUAAAGAAAAGAAACAGAAGGCAAGAUAUGUGCCCCAAAAUGAAAAGGCGAAGACUCCCAUGUGCAAUGAAGAAAGAGAAGAAAAUAUAUUGUUCACGAAAGUUUUAAGCUUUUAUGUUAUAUAUAAUUCCACGGGAAGGCAUGAUUGACUUGGGCCACGACCCAUAUCAUCAUUCUAAAGGGGCAGUUGUUUUGGGUCAAAACUAGUUCCUUCCGUUCCAAAAUUAUUGUCAACCUUACUAUUUUAGUUUGUUCCAAAAUUACUGUCCACUACUACCAAAAGUAGAUAUACAUUUUUACCAUAUUACCCCUAACAUUUAAUAAAGUAAACUUCAAUAAUUACAAAUGCACAUUUCCUAUUGUUUUUAGAAAAUGGCAAGAUGAUCAUUUUACUCAAAAAGACAAAACUAAUGAUUUUUUUUCUUAAUCUUUGUAUUUUUUUUCUGUGGACAAUAAUUUUGGGACGGAGGGAGUAUGAAUCUGGACUUGAAAUUUUGUCUUCAAUCUUCACCUGAUCGUAACUCAACGUCGUCACAGCAUGAUGAUCAAAUAUGGGAAAGAUGUCCAAUAUUUGUCUAUUUUUAUAUCUAUGUAUCUUCCAAGUAUUUCUUCAUAGGCAUGCUACUUUAGGACACAAAAAUAUGUCCACAUUAUACUCUGACAUGCUCAAAAUACAUACAACAGCAAGAAAACAGACCUUGAUAUUUUUCAUUAGUAAUCUGAAGAAAUUGGUUUAUUGUCAUAAUCAGAUUUAUAGUAGAAUUUAAUAAAAUGAGGCAUUUUCAUUAUUCUGAAACAUAUGUAAAUGGUAGCAAAACUGGAAUUGAUAUCUUUUCAAUUGUUGAUCUAAUAUUAUCAAGUAAAGCUUUAGAGGUACCUUGAUGAACAAACCAAGUUGAAAAUGAAGGUUGAUGAUGUUGAUUGUUGAAUGCAUAAAAUGAGGAACAAAAAUAUCCACUGUGAAAAGAUGUUAGAUGUUAUGGAAAUUGAGAAUUCAGGCAAAAUAUCAAGCACAAAGUGUGUAUCUGUGAUACAAAUUUGCAGACAAAACUUAUACAAUAAAGACCAACAAUAAUCAUACCAUAAGAUCCGAGUGAAUGGAUUUAUGAAUAUCUUUAGCUCAUUUUUUGUUACUUUGAAAUUGGGACCCACCCACAAAAUAAAAAAAUAAAAAAAGAUGACUGUCUCAAGGCAAGGUACAGACAGGUGUAUGGUCUUUAGGCUUGUACUUGCCAAGCAAUUCAUCGAUGCUUCUGCAACGACAUUGAUUCCCUGGACGAAUUACAUCGCCAUAAACUGCCAUUUCAAUGAUGUCCAACUCCUUUUCUGUAAACCAUAUCAUGUCAUUGUUACUAGAUACAGUCAGUUAACUUUGUAUAAAAUAAGCAUUUUUUCCUUGGAUAUUAUCUCAACACAUUUCAAUUCAUGAUCAAUGUGGGGGGAUGUGAGGGAGAAGAAAUACCAGUGAAGUUGAUAUCACAAGAGUAACCACGCAACUGUGUCUUGUCAAGAUGAUCCUUGUCCGACUUGGUUCUAUUUACCCUCGUUUGAAGAAUCUGACAAUUUUCAACUACCGAUUCACCACCUACAAAAUCAAUCACACAAUUUUAGCUUCUACAAAUUUUGAUGGAUUUUCUUCCACAACUCCCUAAGCAUCAAAGGCUAUGCAUCACAACAGCGGAUCAAUAUUUGAGAAGCUUACAGAGUUAGUUGUAAAGACCUUUCGAGAAGGGGAUGAUGUGAUCGUAUUCAAAGCAGAGACAUCCCUGACAGUUGCCGAAGCGCUUACAGACGACGUUGCCCGCGGCAUCUUUACGCCAUCGCUCCGGGUGUCUUCCAGGGACAAUCUCGGCUUUGGCCCAGCACAGUUUUUUGGUCAUGGAGUCAAAGAAUCUCGGUCUCUCCUCCUUCCCGUUGUUACUAUUAUCGCCACCGCCACGAUGCCGCUGCGGCGAUGAGGGGGCAGGAGAACUAGAGCUCAUGUUGCCUCUCUCCGGCCUCUCCUCUAUGAAAUUGGAGGGGACUGCUGAAAUUGGGAUGGAAGGUGUUCGAAUAAAUGCCCCAAAGAACUCCUUUUCUUUCGAGGGGCAACAAUGCAUCAUUGCAUAAUUAUGCAGCCACGAGUAAAUUACAUUUUCGGUCCUUCAGUAUAGUUUAGUUUUCCAAUUUUGGUUUUUAAAUUCUUAAAAUUUUUACUUUUGGUCCUCAAUUUUAAGAUUUUUGGUCCAUUUUGGUCCUCAUUCGGGGUUUUCUUUUAUGUAAAAGCUUUGUACUUCUCUUGAUAAAACGCAAACUCAAUGUUUCUAUGAUUUGUGCAAAUAUUUAACUUGUAGAUAGAUCAAUUUAUUUGCCAAAGCAUUCAACAUCAAUUACCAAAAAUAAUGGCCUUCAAUUUUAGCAGCUCAAAACGAAAUUGGAACUACAAAUUUAACUAAAAAAAGCCCAAGAAAAUAAACAUUGCUCUCGAAAACACGAGGGAAAUGAAUCGUAAUAAAACCAUCACACAAUAAUUAUUUAAUCAUACUAAAUAUACACAUUCGAAUUGAGUAACAUUUAUUUACUCAAAGUACGAUAUUCUUUUAAUAUAUGACUAGUUUAACCAGAAACUUUAUGUAAAUGUGCACAAGCAUCAAGAAACUUCAAAACCGACUCAACAAGCUCUGCAAAUUUACCACACGCUACAGUAGUAUCCAAAACUAGCUUCGGCACAUCCCCUACAUCAUAAUCGGUGCAUCCGUUAUAACCCUCCAACAACCUUUCCAUAUCCCGCCAUGUGGCGGGCUUAUGCCAACUGCCACCACAACCGUCUUUCCCUCUAUUCUCAAGCCGACGACGCCACUCACUCUCGUCUUUCGGCUUGCACUCAACCACAACAAGCUGAGAGCCGUCAAAAGAAUCGGNNNNNNNNNNNNNNNNNNNNNNNNNNNNNNNNNNNNNNNNNNNNNNNNNNNNNNNNNNNNNNNNNNNNNNNNNNNNNNNNNNNNNNNNNNNNNNNNNNNNNNNNNNNNNNNNNNNUUCAACUAGCCGAUCCAGAUGACUCUUGCGGGAAAGAGGCGAGUCAAUGACAACACUCAGGCCAAGACUGAGUUGGGUCUCGACCAUUCGCCAAAGUACUUGAUAAGAAAGAUCAUUAAGGAGUUUAGAAACAGUGUGUGACUCCACUACUUCUGCUUCGAUAGCAGAAGUGGAGUCACGUAUGUCGUCUUUGUCAAGGAGCGGGCAUCUUAAUGAUGCGGCUAUGAAGCGGGCAAGCGUUGUUUUGCCCGUGCCUGGGUGUCCCUUCAUUGCUACUAUGACUCUUCUCGGUCGACCUUCUUCGUGUUCCAUUGGAGAUUAAUUUAAUUUCUAUUGUUAUAUAGAUUCAGUGUACUAUUUUCCUUUAGCACGAAUAGUUGGGGAUUUUAUAGGGGCGAGGUGAAUGUUACAUGUCCUUUUCCGCUCAUCUCAGAUAGUUUUCUUUAUAGAUAAAAAAUACAUUUAUUUACUUUUUUUUUUUUAAUUCCAUCUUAUUUCCCUAGCUUCGGUGAAUAAAUAUCAGAAUAAUUUCUCGUUUUCUUAAUCUUCGGAUAAGGUGACGAGGUGACAAGAGAAUCUUGACGUUUUGUGAAAGGAGUUUGACAAGUGUUGUUAAUGAUAAGCUUUGCCAGGUCAGAACGAUGGUGACAAAGAUUAAUAUGAAUAUUUACAAAAUUGGUCAUUGAUUUAUAGGAUAUUUUUCACAAUAAACCCACAACUAUCAACUCUAACACCUUGGUCCUCACUAUAUUUGAAGUUCGUAAUGCACUUGGAAGCUAGUCAUCGACGAUUGUAAAAGAAAUUCACAGGAGUUAAAGAACAGAAAUAAGCAAAUAGAGAAAUCAGAACCCGGAUCUAAAGGACUUGAAUUUGGGUUUUUUUCUUUGUGUCAUGUCUUACCGGUGAUUAUGGGUCUGUUUGGGUAUGGCCCUUAUUUUAGAUUUUUCAUAUUGUUAUCAAAUUUUAAUACUAAUAAAUCAAAAGGAUGCAUUUAUAUAGCUUCUAUGUUAUUUAUUGUAAUUUAAAUAUUCAAUAGUUGAGAUAUAACAAGGUAAUACUUUAGCAAUUAUAUAAAAAACAAAAUAAAUAAAUAAAACCAUAGGGGUUUUAUUUAACUUUGCAUCUCUACUUCACGGGUUAGGUUUUUUCUUUGUAUCAGCUGUUGAGUGAAAAGAAACAGUUAUACAAAUUUGAAUGCAUUAAGUCACUUAUCACAUAUGAUAUGCUAAGCUGGUGUUUCUUUGACGUAAUGGGCUAAACUAAAAAAGAAACAGCAGCUAAGCUAGUAUUUCUUUUCUAACNUAUAGGUGUUGCUUAUCUUUAGCUUAACAUAUAAACCAUGUCUUAGUGGGUUAAAUUAAAAAAAUCUGACUUUUUAUGAAUUCAAAAUAAGAAUUUCUAAACCAAAUAAUCCAAAAUAGUAACAUAAGAAUUUCUUUUUCAGACCAAAUAAUCCAAAAUAACAAGAGGAGGUAAAAAUACUUUAUGUUCAUGGUACCCAAACAUAACAGUCAAACAGUAAUACGAAACCCAGGUGGUAGAGUAGAUUGCUACUAUUAUAACAGAAAACAUUCUGCUGAUAAUGCAAGCAACAAGUGUUUAUGGAUUCAUUUAUAGACUUAGUAGAAGUAGAUUACUACUUUGGGCCGAUAUCCUUAAGAGCACAGAUCUGCUCCUCUCCCAUUGCUGACAUCACACUCACCACCAAGUCCUUUCCCUCUGCAAAUCCAUCCUUGAUCUACAAUUCAUCCAUAUAAAAAAAAAAAAAAACACUUCCUUCAAAUCUUCAAAAACAUUUAUAUAUCUAUAUUAAUACAAUCACACAUCAUAACCACAUACCUGAGUCAGGAGAGCAUCAUCAGUUGGGAGCUUGAGGUCAUCUUUAGUGUUUCCAUUUUCAGUCAGCAAACUCACCUAACAGAUUUUCUUUUUUAUCAGUUCCUAUUAUCAUAACUUGAACAAAAAAUACCAAUUAACAAAGCUUGAAUAGAAUGAACCAUACAAAUCCAUCCUCAGAAAUAUCAAUUAGCUGGUAGUCAGUGCGGUUGACAUGAGGAACCUGCAAACAGAUAUUUUAUAAAAAAAAAAAAAGAAGUUAAUUUUAUAAAAGAGACAAAAAGACUGAAAAAAAAAGUGGAUUGAUUACUCACAUCACAGUUAUGGGAUGAGGGAACAAUAUCUUCAAGCUUUUUACCAUUGAAGAUAUCAAUGGCGACAAAGUGACACUUAGCAUGCCCAUGCUUCCCAGUCUUGGAGGUAGAAACUUCAACAACCUGUUACAAUUUAAUGCAUUAAACACAAAAUUUCUAACAAGAUAACAUACUACACGGUUAUAUUAAUCAUUGAGUAAGAUCAGACUCUCAAGAUAUCACCAUACAGCAAUUACCAAUCAGUGAACAAUUGAUACAACCCACAAGAACAAAGAGAUUCAAUGAAAUAGAUCUAGGUCAUAUAACCUAUGGUCAACUCUAAUAGCCCUUACUGUAGCUUCUAAUGAAAAGCUAAAUGCUUUGACACGAAAAUAUCAAAAUAUCGGAAUCAUAGCCACUUUCAACCAAAAAACUCAAACUGAAAUUUCGCAAUAAUCAGACGCACAUCCAAACAUUCCUUGAAUCUAAUAUACACAAAAAGUGAAACCCUAACACUCGAAGUCAAAACCAAAUCAACUCAAACCAGAUGAAGAUAUUAACACGGAAUAGAGAAAAGGAUUCCGCUAAGCGAGAUCA
Molecule: long non-coding RNA, 7946 nt
Filed under: Lactuca sativa (garden lettuce)
Lineage: Eukaryota; Viridiplantae; Streptophyta; Magnoliopsida; Asterales; Asteraceae
Description: long non-coding RNA (LSAT_LNC004978)
Source: RNAcentral